Schistocerca piceifrons (Central American locust) is the source of this 2791-nucleotide long non-coding RNA. RefSeq lists it as uncharacterized. The record is from RefSeq and is a predicted model, not a curated record. NCBI's taxonomy places the organism in Eukaryota, Metazoa, Arthropoda, Insecta, Orthoptera, Acrididae. The transcript has 2 exons.
AGCACAAUUUCCACUCUGGUAUGAGAGGCAAGAUUUGAAGUACUGAAUCACUGUAAUGCUGUCUUGAUGAGAGACUUCAGUGUCAUUUUAAUCUUGUACCAUUUGCAGUUUUUAGAUCUGAGGUAUACUUUCUACAUGUAACUACUGAACUGUACAGAAUGGUGCAUGGCGACCAGUGCCAGUACUGAAACACUGCUUUAUGUCAUACCUCUGCAAGCAGAAGUAUUCUGACAAUAGGGCUUACAGCUGAAGUAAAAUAUUUGUUUUGAUGUUUAACACAGUGAGUGAACAGCUUGUGUGAAAUUAAAAUUCUGGUUAAAUUCUGUGAGACAAGUACUCCUCCCAGUAGAUACCUAUGAAAGCAAAAGUGAUGACGUUACCCUAGCUUUUGGAACUAUUAGUUCCUUCCCAUGGGUGGAGAGAUGGGUAGAUUGGAGAAGGGUGAAGAGGGAGGACAGGUCACUCACACAUCAGGAUGAGAGAGGCCCGCCUGUAAUGAGGACAGUAGCAUUAACAGUUUGAGUGAUGUCCUCAGUAUUGAAGUUAAGCUCGUCCUGCUUGUGGUUGUUUCUAUAUUUGCUGAAAUCGAUCACAUACCUUGAUCUUCUUCAUACUCACAAUCUUUCAGUGUACUAACAGUCCUAACGUACAAGUAAAUUUCAGUCCAAGACCCAAUGCUUCCUUCUUUAACUGUGAUAAUCUCACUGCCUGUAGGACAUAACAUAAUUGUGAUUGGUAACUAUCAGUUGCUCUAAUGACUGCUAUUUUACCAAGCUAUGUGUGAUCCUCCAUCUGAUCUACAGUUGUAAAAUCACAUUCAGGAGGGCGAUGGUUCAGACCCACAUCCUGCCAUCUAGGCUUAGGUUUUUCGUGAUUUACCUAAAUCACUCCAGGAAAAUGCUAGGAUGUUUCCUUUGAAGAGAACAAAGCUGAUUUCCUGCCUCAUCCUUUCGUAGUCCCAACUUGUGCUCUGUCUCUAAUGAUCUCACUGCUGACAGGAUGUCAAUGUUUAAAUCUUCCAUAAUGUAGGAAAAGACAGCUUUCGACCACAGCCUUCGUCAGUAAGAGAGAGAUACGUACGAUUCAUACACACAAGCAAGCACACCUCAUGCACGCUGUCUCUCUCUUACUGAUGAAGGCUGUGGCCAAAGCUUUAUGUAAGUGUCUUUUAAUUGUGCCUGCAGCUUCACGUGUCAUCUUUACAGUAAGUAGCUAUCUGUCUUACCGUACAUGGUUGAUGUUCCUACUGGGGUUCCCAUUGUUUAAAUCUUCCAUCCUUUUUACAGCUUCAAAUCAACAUUUACUUAUCCUGUUUGGAGUGUCAGCAUUUUUCAAUCCAUUUUUCCCUUUCUGCUUGUUUCUAAUACCACACUGUUUCAUACUUUAAGUGAAAGAUUAUAUUUAUGUCUUCUUGCACCACAUUUCAGAUGCUUACAGUUUCUUCUUAGAUUUUCCAUUGUUGUGCUGUUUAAAGACUAGGCAGUUCUAUGCCCCAAAUGUACAAUUUGAUGAAACCUUAUUUUUAUUUAGAGAAUGGGUGAAUUUUAAUAGAUUUCACUCACAUAAUUAUAAAAUAAAAAUGAUUUAUUCUUUGGUGUGCUCAUAUUGUGUAAUCAUACUUCUUAAAUGGCAGAACUCUUUCACUUAUUUUACAAUGACUUUUCCAGUUUACAUGUUCAGAAAUUCAUUCUCUCUUUCUUUCACAAAUCAUUUUAGUAUUUUUUACAAUGCAAAUUUUCUACAGGUUUCACUUUGCUUCCCAUACAGCCUCCCCACUUUCAGCCUAAUGAAUUGUUGUGUAACUCAGUCUUAAACAUGGUAUGCGUUCUCCUCUCGCUCUUAUUCCUGCUUUACAUUACUCUUUUACUCGUUUCAGUGAUUUUUUGUGUCAGUUGUAAUGAUAGGAACAUGAAGACAAUACAACACCCAGUCCUCAAGUGGAGAAGAUCUCUGACCCGGCCUGGAAUCAAACCCAGGCGGCCUCGGUUUGCAAUCUGUUAUGCUGACUGCACAGCUACUGAAGCAGACUAGACUUUUUAGUUUCACAAUUUUUGUAUUGUUUGCUACUGGUGGGAUUAUCAUGGCAGAAUUAAGAUACACAGAAUAUAUUGUAAAUGGCAUCAGGUAUUGUGCUGCAAUGAUUGACUUCUGGAUCAAAGCGAAGUUAACUGUCAUUGAAAAGGAAUUCCUGAUAUGUACAACAGUAAUCGAUAGACGAGAUUUUUAAAUCCAAAUGCAGUCACUUGUAUUUCAUUUUGAAGUGACAGCUGUCUCCAUUUUAUAUAUUGCACUGACAUAUGUUAGUCACUGUUACAUUGUAAAUUAUGAAAGGUAUCAGGUUAAUUUCUUUUUAAUCAUUUACUCUAGGUGCAGGUAGAGAAUUACAAAAAUGAUACAUUUAAUAUUUAACAUUCUGGUACCAACAUGAUUGUUGGAGAUGGUACUGCAGUGUUUGUCUUGAAUAUAUUUUGAUUUAUGUCAUGAAUAACUUUGUCUUUUAUUACCAGUGUGCUAGUUGUGCAUUCAUGUGUAACUAAUAUGGGAGACAAUUUGGGAAGACCAUCAGUGUGUUACAGUCUAAGUGCCUUGCUGGAGGCAGUCCAACUACUUAAACACUUUAUUGAAGCAUUAAGCAUUCUCUGUGAUAAUCAUAUAGCUGAGACAUUCUCCACAACAGGUAAAGAAGUCAUGUUGUUAAACUGUUACCAUUGCAACAAAGAUUAUUUCUAUGUACAACAACAAUACUAAAUAUAAAUGUACCGGUGAACAAAAGAAUAAAUGUUAUUUAAAA